This 253-nucleotide ribosomal RNA is filed under the name uncultured bacterium. Its description in RNAcentral is "partial 16S ribosomal RNA". It matches the Rfam family "Bacterial small subunit ribosomal RNA", at positions 524 to 776 of the family's 1533-position model. The record is from RNAcentral.
UACAGGGGGGGCAAGCGUUGUUCGGAAUUACUGGGCGUAAAGGGUCUGUAGGUGGCCAACUAAGUCAGACGUGAAAUCCCUCAGCUUAACUGGGGAACUGCGUCUGAUACUGGAUGGCUUGAGUGCAGGAGAGGAAUGCGGAAUUCCAGGUGUAGCGGUGAAAUGCGUAGAUAUCUGGAGGAACACCGGUGGCGAAGGCGGCAUUCUGGACUGUAACUGACACUGAGAGACGAAAGCCAGGGGAGCAAGCGGG